UCUCAAAGAUUAAGCCAUGCAUUUUAAGCAUGAGCCGAUUUAUGGUGAAGCCGCGAAUGGCUCAUUACAACAGCCGUUGUUUCUUGGAUCUUGAUUUACUUGGAUAACUGUGGUAAUUCUAGAGCUAAUACAUGCAACCAAGCUCCGACCUCGCGGAAGGAGCGCAUUUAUUAGACCAAGACCAAUCGGGCUCUGCCCGGAAUCUGGUGACUCUGAAUAACUUUGCUGAUCACACGGUCCUAGCACCGGUGACAUAUCUUUCAAGUGUCUGCCCUAUCAACUUUCGAUGGUAGUUUAUGUGCCUACCAUGGUGGUAACGGGUAACGGAGAAUAAGGGUUCGACUCCGGAGAGGGAGCCUGAGAAAUGGCUACCACAUCCAAGGAAGGCAGCAGGCG
This 396-nucleotide ribosomal RNA is filed under the name Desmodora sp. 76L10H15. Its description in RNAcentral is "SSU rRNA". It matches the Rfam family "Eukaryotic small subunit ribosomal RNA", at positions 35 to 434 of the family's 1831-position model. The record is from RNAcentral. Lineage: Eukaryota; Metazoa; Nematoda; Chromadorea; Desmodorida; Desmodoridae.